AUGGCGGCUUCGUUGGGACUGAACCCUGAAGGUGUAUUCAGCUCCGCCUUCGCCCACUCCUCACCUUUCCUGGGCGAUCACUACGCACCGCCUGCCCGCGCCUUCAUCGACGACAGUGAUUACGCGGCUCAGCUCCACCUCCACGACGAUCAUCAGCACUACCCUUUCGAUCAAUUCGAGUACUCGCCGCCGAUGGCACAGGUCUCUUUCGCCGGCGCCGGGGAUGACAAACAUCGCAGCGAGAAGACGAUCAAAAUCAGUGCGAGGGUGAGCGCAGGGAGGAUCGGGUUCAGGACGAGGUCAGAGGUGGAAAUCUUGGACGACGGGUUCAAGUGGAGGAAGUACGGGAAGAAGGCGGUGAAGAACAGCCCGAACCCGAGGAACUACUACCGGUGCUCGGCGGAGGGCUGCGGCAUCAAGAAGCGCGUGGAGAGGGACCGCGACGACCCCCGCUACGUCGUCACCACCUACAACGGCGUCCACAACCACGCAACGCCCGGCGCCGCCGCACAGUACUACUGCUACAGCCCCCCGCGCAGCUCGCCGCCGACAGCGUAUUCCGCCGCUGGCCUACUGCAAUUCUGA
This 585-nucleotide ribosomal RNA is filed under the name Triticum aestivum (bread wheat). RNAcentral's name for it is "partial small subunit ribosomal RNA". Lineage: Eukaryota; Viridiplantae; Streptophyta; Magnoliopsida; Poales; Poaceae. The record is from RNAcentral.